AGUGAACGUUGGCGGCGUGGAUUAGGCAUGCAAGUCGAGCGAGAACCGUAGCAAUACGGGGACAGCGGCGAAAGGGACAGUAAUGUGUAGGUACCUACCACGAGGUCUGGGAUAGCUGCGGGAAACUGCAGGUAAUACCGGAUAAUGUCUUCGGACCAAAGGUGUGAUUCCACCUUGGGGGGGGCCUGCAUCCUAUUAGCUAGUUGGCGGGGUAAUGGCCCACCAAGGCAACGAUGGGUAGCGGGUGUGCGAGCACGACCCGCGUCAUUGGGACUGAGAUACUGCCCAGACACCUACGGGUGGCUGCAGUCGAGGAUCUUCGGCAAUGGGCGAAAGCCUGACCGAGCGACGCCGCGUGCGGGAUGAAGGCCUUCGGGUUGUAAACCGCUGUCGUAGAGGAGGAAAUGCAGGGGGGUUCUCCCUUCUGUUUGACCUAUUCUAGGAGGAAGGACGGGCUAAGUUCGUGCCAGCCGCCGCAGUAA
Molecule: ribosomal RNA, 482 nt
Filed under: uncultured bacterium
Lineage: Bacteria
Description: partial 16S ribosomal RNA
Rfam family: Bacterial small subunit ribosomal RNA
Source: RNAcentral